UUAGAGUUUGAUCAUGGCUCAGAUUGAACGCUGGCGGCAGGCCUAACACAUGCAAGUCGAGCGGAUGACAGGAGCUUGCUCCUGAAUUCAGCGGCGGACGGGUGAGUAAUGCCUAGGAAUCUGCCUGGUAGUGGGGGACAACGUUUCGAAAGGAACGCUAAUACCGCAUACGUCCUACGGGAGAAAGCAGGGGACCUUCGGGCCUUGCGCUAUCAGAUGAGCCUAGGUCGGAUUAGCUAGUUGGUGAGGUAAUGGCUCACCAAGGCGACGAUCCGUAACUGGUCUGAGAGGAUGAUCAGUCACACUGGAACUGAGACACGGUCCAGACUCCUACGGGAGGCAGCAGUGGGGAAUAUUGGACAAUGGGCGAAAGCCUGAUCCAGCCAUGCCGCGUGUGUGAAGAAGGUCUUCGGAUUGUAAAGCACUUUAAGUUGGGAGGAAGGGCAGUAACUUAAUACGUUGCUGUUUUGACGUUACCGACAGAAUAAGCACCGGCUAACUCUGUGCCAGCAGCCGCGGUAAUACAGAGGGUGCAAGCGUUAAUCGGAAUUACUGGGCGUAAAGCGCGCGUAGGUGGUUUGUUAAGUUGGAUGUGAAAGCCCCGGGCUCAACCUGGGAACUGCAUUCAAAACUGACAAGCUAGAGUAUGGUAGAGGGUGGUGGAAUUC
Molecule: ribosomal RNA, 668 nt
Filed under: uncultured soil bacterium
Lineage: Bacteria
Description: bacterial SSU rRNA
Rfam family: Bacterial small subunit ribosomal RNA
Source: RNAcentral